AGUGAACGCUGGCGGUAGGCCUAACACAUGCAAGUCGAACGGCAGCACAGUAAGAGCUUGCUCUUACGGGUGGCGAGUGGCGGACGGGUGAGGAAUACAUCUGAAUCUACUUUUUCGUGGGGGAUAACGUAGGGAAACUUACGCUAAUACCGCAUACGACCUACGGGUGAAAGCAGGGGAUCUUCGGACCUUGCGCGAUUGAAUGAGCCGAUGUCGGAUUAGCUAGUUGGCGGGGUAAAGGCCCACCAAGGCGACGAUCCGUAGCUGGUCUGAGAGGAUGAUCAGCCACACUGGAACUGAGACACGGUCCAGACUCCUACGGGAGGCAGCAGUGGGGAAUAUUGGACAAUGGGCGCAAGCCUGAUCCAGCCAUACCGCGUGGGUGAAGAAGGCCUUCGGGUUGUAAAGCCCUUUUGUUGGGAAAGAAAAGCAGCAGGUUAAUACCCCGCUGUUCUGACGGUACCCAAGGAAUAAGCACCGGCUAACUUCGUG
This 492-nucleotide ribosomal RNA is filed under the name uncultured bacterium. RNAcentral describes it as "partial 16S ribosomal RNA". It matches the Rfam family "Bacterial small subunit ribosomal RNA", at positions 29 to 507 of the family's 1533-position model. The record is from RNAcentral.